CGGUGGAGCAUGUGGUUUAAUUACGAAGCAACGACGAAGAACCUUACCAGGCCUUGACAUGCAGAGAACUUUCCAGAGAUGGAUUGGUGCCUUCGGGAACUCUGACACAGGUGCUGCAUGGCUGUCGUCAGCUCGUGUCGUGAGAUGUUGGGUUAAGUCCCGUAACGAGCGCAACCCUUGUCCUUAGUUACCAGCACGUUAUGGUGGGCACUCUAAGGAGACUGCCGGUGACAAACCGGAGGAAGGUGGGGAUGACGUCAGGUCCUCAUGGCCUUUAUGACCAGGGCUACACACGUACUACAAUGGCCGAUACAAAGGGCAGCGACACUGCGAGGUGAAGCCAAUCCCGUAAAAUCGGUCUCAGUCCGGAUUGGAGUCUGCAACUCGACUCCAUGAAGUUGGAAUCGCUAGUAAUCGUGGAUCAGCAUGCCACGGUGAAUACGUUCCCGGGCCUU
This 455-nucleotide ribosomal RNA is filed under the name uncultured Bacillus sp. Its description in RNAcentral is "bacterial SSU rRNA". It matches the Rfam family "Bacterial small subunit ribosomal RNA", at positions 930 to 1382 of the family's 1533-position model. The record is from RNAcentral. Lineage: Bacteria; Bacillati; Bacillota; Bacilli; Caryophanales; Bacillaceae.